GUUCUCAUUCUUCUUCUACUCAAAACACAAAACACUUCUUUCUUCAUUUUCUUCCACCAUGAGAAAUUUCUUCCUUUCUCCAUUUUUGCUCAUGUUCAAACCCAACGAGCUCCUAUCUAUGUUUCUAGUCUUGCGCCUCCGACACUUGCUCGUGUCCUCCACCUUCGCUUUCACGUGGAGAGAUCUCCCCUAAGUCUGAUGGAAGUGUUUUCCGUUGCUCGCAACCUCCACCUUCAUCUACGUGCGAGAUCUUCCCGCCUCCAUGUGUCGUAGCCGCAGCCUCACAGGCCGUGUCUCCUUGCCCCUUCUCACAUUACCACUGUAGCCUCUCGCGCUGCAACUCUUCCUGUCCCUAAUUUCGAGUACAUGUUUCUGGUAGUGAUUUUUAGGGUUAAUAAUUUUUAAGGUUUUAGGGUUUCUUGUGAGUGAUUACUAAUGACUUCAAUUUCUCUUCCCC
This 457-nucleotide long non-coding RNA is filed under the name Vigna radiata. Its description in RNAcentral is "long non-coding RNA (VRAD_LNC001311)". The record is from RNAcentral. Lineage: Eukaryota; Viridiplantae; Streptophyta; Magnoliopsida; Fabales; Fabaceae.